CUGGCGGUAUGCUUAAGACAUGCAAGUCGAACGGAAUCUUCGGAUUCAGUGGCGGACGGGUGAGUAACACGUGGGAAUCUACUGAGUAGUGGGGGACAGCCCGGCGAAAGCCGGAUUAAUACCGCAUACGCCCUACGGGGGAAAGGCGCAAGCCGCUAUUUAAUGAGCCCGCGUAAGAUUAGCUAGUUGGUAGGGUAAAGGCUUACCAAGGCAACGAUCUUUAGCUGGUCUGAGAGGAUGGCCAGCCACAUCGGGACUGAGACACGGCCCGGACUCCUACGGGAGGCAGCAGUCGGGAAUAUUGGACAAUGGGCGCAAGCCUGAUCCAGCAAUACCGCGUGUGUGAAGAAGGCCUGCGGGUUGUAAAGCACUUUCAGUUGGGAAGAUAGUGACGUUACCAACAGAAGAAGCACCGGCUAACUCCGUGCCAGCAGCCGCGGUAAUACGGAGGGUGCAAGCGUUAAUCGGAAUUACUGGGCGUAAAGCGUGCGUAGGCGGUUUUUUAAGUCAGAUGUGAAAUCCCCGGGCUCAACCUGGGAACUGCAUCUGAUACUGGGAGACUAGAGUGUGGGAGAGGAGAGUGGAAUUUCCGGUGUAGCGGUGAAAUGCAUAGAGAUCGGAAGGAACAUCAGUGGCGAAGGCGACUCUCUGGACCAACACUGACGCUGAGGCACGAAAGCGUGGGUAGCAAACAGGAUUAGAUACCCUGGUAGUCC
This 716-nucleotide ribosomal RNA is filed under the name uncultured bacterium. RNAcentral describes it as "bacterial SSU rRNA". It matches the Rfam family "Bacterial small subunit ribosomal RNA", at positions 36 to 796 of the family's 1533-position model. The record is from RNAcentral.